UAAGGAAUAUUGGUCAAUGGACGCAAGUCUGAACCAGCCGUGCCGCGUGAAGGAUGAAGGUCCUCUGGAUUGUAAACUUCUUUUAUCUGGGAAGAAAUCCAUGGUUUCGACUGUGGUUGACGGUACCAGAUGAAUAAGCACCGGCUAACUCCGUGCCAGCAGCCGCGGUAAUACGUAGGGGGCAAGCGUUGUCCGGAUUUACUGGGUGUAAAGGGCGCGCAGGCGGGAUAUAAAGUCAGUGGUGAAAUCCUACAGCUUAACUGUAGAACUGCCUUUGAUACUUUUAUUCUUGAGUUCGGGAGAGAGAGACGGAAUUCCAGGUGUAGUGGUGAAAUACGUAGAUAUCUGGAAGAACACCAGUUGCGAAGGCGGUCUCUUGGUCCGACACUGACGCUGAGGCGCGAAAGCGUGGGGAGCAAACA
RNAcentral lists this ribosomal RNA (422 nucleotides) under uncultured bacterium. RNAcentral's name for it is "bacterial SSU rRNA". It matches the Rfam family "Bacterial small subunit ribosomal RNA", at positions 355 to 774 of the family's 1533-position model. The record is from RNAcentral.